GUGCUCACUUGACAACACAUAUACUGAAAAUGGAAUAAUACAGAGAAAAUUAGCAUGGCCUCUGCACCAGGAAAAAAUGCAGAUUCAUAAAAUGUUCCAUAUUUUG
Mustela putorius furo (domestic ferret) is the source of this 106-nucleotide small nuclear RNA. The record is from Ensembl. Lineage: Eukaryota; Metazoa; Chordata; Mammalia; Carnivora; Mustelidae.